This 617-nucleotide ribosomal RNA is filed under the name Pantoea dispersa. Its description in RNAcentral is "bacterial SSU rRNA". It matches the Rfam family "Bacterial small subunit ribosomal RNA", at positions 61 to 667 of the family's 1533-position model. The record is from RNAcentral. Lineage: Bacteria; Pseudomonadati; Pseudomonadota; Gammaproteobacteria; Enterobacterales; Erwiniaceae.
GUCGAACGGCAGCACAGAAGAGCUUGCUCUUUGGGUGGCGAGUGGCGGACGGGUGAGUAAUGUCUGGGAAACUGCCCGAUGGAGGGGGAUAACUACUGGAAACGGUAGCUAAUACCGCAUAACGUCGCAAGACCAAAGUGGGGGACCUUCGGGCCUCACACCAUCGGAUGUGCCCAGAUGGGAUUAGCUAGUAGGUGGGGUAAUGGCUCACCUAGGCGACGAUCCCUAGCUGGUCUGAGAGGAUGACCAGCCACACUGGAACUGAGACACGGUCCAGACUCCUACGGGAGGCAGCAGUGGGGAAUAUUGCACAAUGGGCGCAAGCCUGAUGCAGCCAUGCCGCGUGUAUGANGAAGGCCUUCGGGUUGUAAAGUACUUUCAGCGGGGAGGAAGGCGGUGAGGUUAAUAACCUUGCCGAUUGACGUUACCCGCAGAAGAAGCACCGGCUAACUCCGUGCCAGCAGCCGCGGUAAUACGGAGGGUGCAAGCGUUAAUCGGAAUUACUGGGCGUANAGCGCACGCAGGCGGUCUGUUAAGUCAGAUGUGAAAUCCCCGGGCUUANCCUGGGAACUGCAUUUGAAACUGGCAGGCUUGAGUCUCGUAGAGGGGGGUAGAAU